Molecule: ribosomal RNA, 527 nt
Filed under: uncultured Flavobacteriaceae bacterium
Lineage: Bacteria; Pseudomonadati; Bacteroidota; Flavobacteriia; Flavobacteriales; Flavobacteriaceae
Description: bacterial SSU rRNA
Rfam family: Bacterial small subunit ribosomal RNA
Source: RNAcentral
UAGGGUUUGAUUCUGGCUCAGGAUGAACGCUAGCGGCAGGCUUAACACAUGCAAGUCGAGGGGUAACAUAGGAAGCUUGCUUUCUGAUGACGACCGGCGCACGGGUGCGUAACGCGUAUACAAUCUACCUUAUACUGGGGUAUAGCCUUUAGAAAUGAAGAUUAACCCCCCAUAGUCUCUUAGAGUGGCAUCACUUCUAGAGUAAAGGUUACGGUAUAAGAUGAGUAUGCGUUCUAUUAGUUUGUUGGUGUGGUAACGGCACACCAAGACUACGAUAGAUAGGGGCCCUGAGAGGGGGAUCCCCCACACUGGUACUGAGACACGGACCAGACUCCUACGGGAGGCAGCAGUGAGGAAUAUUGGACAAUGGAGGCAACUCUGAUCCAGCCAUGCCGCGUGUAGGAUGACUGCCCUAUGGGUUGUAAACUACUUUUAUACAGGAAGAAACACCUCUACGAGUAGAGGCUUGACGGUACUGUAAGAAUAAGGAUCGGCUAACUCCCGUGCCAGCCCGCCGCGGUAAUUCA